This 29-nucleotide non-coding RNA is filed under the name Rattus norvegicus (Norway rat). Lineage: Eukaryota; Metazoa; Chordata; Mammalia; Rodentia; Muridae. The record is from RNAcentral.
UGGGUUGUGCCUUCUGCAUGUUCUCUGGU